GUGGGGAAUAUUGGACAAUGGGCGCAAGCCUGAUCCAGCCAUGCCGCGUGAGUGAUGAAGGCCCUAGGGUUGUAAAGCUCUUUCACCGGAGAAGAUAAUGACGGUAUCCGGAGAAGAAGCCCCGGCUAACUUCGUGCCAGCAGCCGCGGUAAUACGAAGGGGGCUAGCGUUGUUCGGAAUUACUGGGCGUAAAGCGCACGUAGGCGGAUAUUUAAGUCAGGGGUGAAAUCCCGGAGCUCAACUCCGGAACUGCCUUUGAUACUGGGUAUCUCGAGUAUGGAAGAGGUGAGUGGAAUUCCGAGUGUAGAGGUGAAAUUCGUAGAUAUUCGGAGGAACACCAGUGGCGAAGGCGGCUCACUGGUCCAUUACUGACGCUGAGGUGCGAAAGCGUGGGGAGCAAACAGGAUUAGAAACCCGUGUAGUCC
Molecule: ribosomal RNA, 425 nt
Filed under: uncultured bacterium
Lineage: Bacteria
Description: bacterial SSU rRNA
Rfam family: Bacterial small subunit ribosomal RNA
Source: RNAcentral